UUUUUAACUAUGUUUCAUCAUAGCUUCCACACAAAUCCAUAGCCGCUAUAUCAUCGUCCAUGGUGGGGGUACGGUCAUGGAACUCUCCUGCUAUUAGAAACGACGACGGCAGAGCCCACCCUUCUCGUGACCCUUCUUCUCCUCCUCCUCAUCCUCGGAUCGACGGCGAAGUCGACGCUUUUCUCCUCCCCAACUUCGACCCCGUCGAGGAGUGGCUUCUCGAUUUCGACUCCGCCGCGAUGCUCGGCGAUGACGAUGGUGCCAAAAGGUGCGAUUUGGAGACUAAGGAAGAUGCACCGAAGGGCUUGCUCAUACAUGAGGAGAUGAACAAGGUUAACUUGGUCGAAGACUCCGACUGCGGCACUGUUCAUUCGUGCCCAGACGCGGUGGAAAGUAAGGAUAGCGUCAUCAAUGUGACUGGUAGCAGUGUUAAUGAUGCUGUAGUGGGUUCUAGCGGUGGUAGCCUUGCAGGCGAAGAAGAAACAACUGGAUUGGAUCAGGGUGCGAAAGAACCUAAAGAAGAUGUGGUUUCUGAGGUUCAUGUGGUUAGUGAUCAGGUUGGCGAGGAGCAAGAGAGCAGAGAAACAGAGUCUGAAGAAGAUGAUGAUGAUGAUGAUGAUGAUGAUGACGACGACGAUGACGACGACGACGACGACGAGGAUUCAUCUAGUCAGCACUCUUCUUCCUCUACAAGUAGCCAAGAGGAAGAAGAUGAAGAAGACGUCGGCAAUGAUGGAGAAGAAGCUAGAAUGGUGGAUGAGGCAGUAGAUGUCGAAGACGGUGAAAUAAUUGGCAGUGAUGGGGAUGAGGGUGUUAUGAAAGGUCCUGUCAGGUCCAAGCAUGAAAUCGAGGUUCUCCCACCAGUUUCUAAAAUUGAAGUGCACUUGGAACCACAUCAUCAGACAUUACCUGUUGGCGUAAUUUCCUCGAUGCUGGGUGACAGAGUCAUUGUCGAGGGCUUGGAGAAACACAAUCCUCUCAACGAGGGUUCUAUUCUCUGGAUAUCAGAGAGCAGGAAAGCAUUGGGUCUCGUUGAUGAAAUAUUUGGACCUGUAAAGAAUCCCUAUUAUGUUGUGAGAUACAAUUCUGACAAGGAGCUGCCUGCUGGGAUCAGUGCUGGCACUCCUGUCUCUUUUGUUCCUGAGUUUGCUAAUCACAUUCUCAAUGAAAAGGAACUCUAUAAGAAAGGCUAUGAUGCAUCGGGCGAGAAUGAUGAAGAGCUAAAUGAUGAGGUUGAGUUCUCUGAUGAUGAGAAGGAAGCCGAGUACAGAAAAUCUCUAAGACAGGCAAAGAGGGGUGCUAAUGAUAGGCAGCAACAUGGGAAUAGAAAAUUUGAAAAUAAGAAGCCAAAUUUUAAGGUUCAUGGCAUUCAGAGGGAGAAGCUGUCUACGCUUCCUCAUGCAUCGGCACCUUUUAGCCAACCUGGAUGUUCUUUUGGAACGGGAAACUCUUUUAUAAGAUCUUCUUCUAUGGUUCCAGCAGUUCCAACGGGUCCUAUGGUUCCUACAGCUCCAAUUGCAGCUCAGAUGGGCAACUGCUUAAUCAACCCAUCUCUGCAGUUCUUACAACAGCAACCAAAUGCUUUUUUGCCUAAUGUGUUUCCUCCUCAACAGCAGCAGAAUCUGGGCAUCCAAGGAAUGGUGACAAAUAUGUUGCAAAACCAGCAUCUGAAGAUUAAUAAUCAGCAGCAACAACAUCAGAAUCAGAAUUUAAAUCUCCUCCUUAAUGGAAUGCCAUGUCAACAGCAGUUCUUUCCCAAUACUGGAUUUCCUACUAAUCCAUUAAUGAUUGGUGGGUCAGCGAAUCCAUCUCCCACUGUAAUGACUGUCGUGCCUAUGGGACAGGGUAACUUUGGCCAGGUGCCAAUUCGCUGCAGCAAUAUGCAAGGCCAAGGCAUUUCUUGUUUUCCUACUGAUCAGAAUUAUAUACAACCACUGCCCACUGUAGCAGGAGCACACACCCCUGUGCAAUUUAAUCUUGGGACCUCAUUGUCUGGUGGUAAACAGCCUCAUCAAAGAGGAGGUCGUCAUGUCUUUGGUAGAGGUAGAGGCCCAGGUGGUCGGCCUCAAAAUAGGUUUGCAUGUUGUCUCCAUUGACAAAUGAUUGCUUGCACACUUAAUUACCAUGUUCUGGACCUAACAAAGUUCAUCUGCUUGAAUGCUAUUAUACUUGUGUGCUUUCUUCCUCCAAUUAGAUUAGGAAGGAAAAGAAAGUUGCUAAUGCAAUCCCAAAAAAAGGGUUUGCCCUAACUUCUCACCCUUCUUCCCUUCCGGCCGGUCGCCGGUCGCCGAACGCCAUCGGAAGCCCUCCUCUUCAGAAAUCGAAGAUCGAAGAUCGGGUUCUUCACUCUUCAGAAAUCGAAACCCUCCUCGUCGCCUCUUCCUCUAAAGCUUCCGCUUCCGCUUCCGCUUCCGCCCGCUAUCCAACGAUAGAUCAGUAAUCAGGUGGUUCUUUACAAACCAGAUAAUUUGGAGAUCAAGGUCGUAUUGCUGUGAAUUGGGGCUACGCUCAUUGCGGUACGAGACAUGGGCGGCGGCGGCGACAACGGCGAUGGAGAAUCUAGGAGGAGGAGGAUUGUGUUCGUGACGGUGGGGACGACCUGUUUCAACGCCCUCGUCGAAGCCGUAGAUUCGGAGAAGGUCAAAGAAGCUCUAUGGCGAAAGGGGUUCACCCAUCUCCUCAUCCAAAUGGGCUGCGGAACCUAUAUCCCUUCGAAGGUCGUUCGUGUGCGGCGCGGCAGCACGAGGCGAGGGCGUAGCUCAGUAGAUAGCGCCC
Ananas comosus (pineapple) is the source of this 2775-nucleotide RNA transcript. It is a transcript of the gene named H/ACA ribonucleoprotein complex non-core subunit NAF1-like, with no coding region annotated. The transcript has 8 exons. NCBI's taxonomy places the organism in Eukaryota, Viridiplantae, Streptophyta, Magnoliopsida, Poales, Bromeliaceae. The record is from RefSeq and is a predicted model, not a curated record.